Molecule: ribosomal RNA, 630 nt
Filed under: uncultured rumen bacterium
Lineage: Bacteria
Description: bacterial SSU rRNA
Rfam family: Bacterial small subunit ribosomal RNA
Source: RNAcentral
UACAGGCCUAACACAUGCAAGUCGAGGGGCAGCAUGAUCAAAGCUUGCUUUGAUUGAUGGCGACCGGCGCACGGGUGAGUAACGCGUAUCCAACCUUCCCCUUAGUAGGGCAUAGCCCGUAGAAAUGCGGAUUAAUACCCUAUGUUAUUCGUCGAGGACAUCUGAAGUGAAUCAAAGGUUUACCGCUAAGGGAUGGGGAUGCGUCUGAUUAGGUUGUUGGCGGGGUAACGGCCCACCAAGCCUACGAUCAGUAGGGGUUCUGAGAGGAAGGUCCCCCACAUUGGUACUGAGACACGGACCAAACUCCUACGGGAGGCAGCAGUGAGGAAUAUUGGUCAAUGGGCGAGAGCCUGAACCAGCCAAGUAGCGUGCAGGAUGACUGCCCUAUGGGUUGUAAACUGCUUUUAUAGGGGAAUAAAGUGAGGUAUGUAUACCUUUUUGUAUGUACCCUAUGAAUAAGGACCGGCUAAUUCCGUGCCAGCAGCCGCGGUAAUACUGAAGGUCCGGGCGUUAUCCGGAUUUAUUGGGUUUAAAGGGAGCGCAGGCGGGAUAUUAAGCGUGACGUGAAAUGUAGUGCUCAACAUCUGCACUGCGUCGCGAACUGGUAUCCUUGAGUGCAUUCGACGCUGG